GCAUUGGUGGUGUAACGGUUAGCAUGGUUGCCUUCCAAGCAGUCGAUCCGGGUUCAACUCCCGGGCCAAUGCA
Molecule: transfer RNA, 73 nt
Filed under: Saccoglossus kowalevskii
Lineage: Eukaryota; Metazoa; Hemichordata; Enteropneusta; Harrimaniidae
Description: tRNA-Gly
Rfam family: tRNA
About the family: Transfer RNA (tRNA) molecules are approximately 80 nucleotides in length. Their secondary structure includes four short double-helical elements and three loops (D, anti-codon, and T loops).
Source: RNAcentral